Molecule: ribosomal RNA, 178 nt
Filed under: uncultured bacterium
Lineage: Bacteria
Description: partial 16S ribosomal RNA
Rfam family: Bacterial small subunit ribosomal RNA
Source: RNAcentral
GAAGUUGGAAUUGCUAGUAAUCGCGGAUCAGCAUGCCGCGGUGAAUACGUUCCCGGGCCUUGUACACACCGCCCGUCACACCAUGGGAGCCGGUAAUACCCGAAGUCAGUAGUCCAACCACGUGAGGACGCUGCCGAAGGUAGGAUUGGCGACUGGGGUGAAGUCGUAACAAGGUAAC